ACACAGUUAGUUCAGCUGGUUAGAACAUGGUGCUUAUAACGCCAAGGUUGCAGGUUCAAUCCCUGCAUAGGGCA
Molecule: non-coding RNA, 74 nt
Organism: Podarcis raffonei (Aeolian wall lizard)
Lineage: Eukaryota; Metazoa; Chordata; Lepidosauria; Squamata; Lacertidae
Source: the annotation of a RefSeq genome assembly